This is a long non-coding RNA of Camelus dromedarius (Arabian camel), 264 nucleotides long. RefSeq lists it as uncharacterized. NCBI's taxonomy places the organism in Eukaryota, Metazoa, Chordata, Mammalia, Artiodactyla, Camelidae. The record is from RefSeq and is a predicted model, not a curated record. The transcript is spliced from 3 exons.
GAUUGGAAACUCAGUUUCCUGAAACAGGUAUAGACCCCUCAGUGUCUGUGACCUUGGAUCAAGCCAUAGCCUCAGAGCCCAGAGCCAACAGCCCCUGACAAGAGAAUACAGGGGGAGGGGCUGGACGUCUGUAUGAGAAGGAGGCACCUUGGAUGUACCUAGAAGCUGGUUUUUCAUCUUGGAACACAGUCGAAUGUCAGUCCAACCAGGUACACUUGCUCAACUAGGAUCAACGAUGCUCAACCAAGUUCCCUGCCCUCUGAG